Long non-coding RNA from Herpailurus yagouaroundi (jaguarundi), 125 nucleotides. RefSeq lists it as uncharacterized. The record is from RefSeq and is a predicted model, not a curated record. The transcript is spliced from 4 exons. NCBI's taxonomy places the organism in Eukaryota, Metazoa, Chordata, Mammalia, Carnivora, Felidae.
GUCCUUCAGGCAGUAUCAGGAGGGGGGGGGGGAUGUCCCCGUGUCUCUUGUAAGAUACGCAAGGAACCUCCAGGGCAGAGCGAGAGGUAGCAAGAUAAGGAAGUGAUGGGUUUUUAGCAUGUAUU